UCCCACCUGGCUGACUGCAUUCUCCACUGUUCCUGCUGUGUACAUCCCAGGGUCUAUGUCAAGACUUCAGUGAUACCUGUCCUAAGACCCUCAACUCCCUGCUCACUCUGUAACAGCAACCAUUUGGAAUGAACAUGGGUGCUGACAAGCCUAUUUCCCUGACAAGUAGAUUCAUUAACCUGAGGUUCAAUUACUUUUUCAAGAUGGAGUCUGGCUCUGCCCUCCAGGCUGGAGUG
Molecule: long non-coding RNA, 236 nt
Organism: Cercocebus atys (sooty mangabey)
Lineage: Eukaryota; Metazoa; Chordata; Mammalia; Primates; Cercopithecidae
Exons: 4
Source: RefSeq, a predicted model, not a curated record